AGCAAGGGCCGGGCAAGACCGGUGCCAGCCGCCGCGGUAACACCGGCGGCUCGAGUGGUGACCAUUAUUAUUGGGUUUAAAGGGUUUGUAGCCGGCCGGAUAAGUCUCUUGGGAAAUCUGGCAGCUCAACCGUCAGGCUUUCAGGGGAUACUGUCAGUCUCGGGGCCGGGAGAGGUGAGAGGUACUUCAGGGGUAGGGGUGAAAUCUUGUAAUCCUUGAAGGACCACCAGUGGCGAAGGCGUCUCACCAGAACGGACUUGACGGCAAGGGACGAAAGCUAGGGGCGCGAACCGGAUUAGAUACCCGGGUAGUCCCAGCCGUAAACGAUACUCGUUAGGUGUAGGGCACGGUGCGAGUCACGUAGGUGCCGAAGGGAAACCGUGAAACGAGCCACCUGGGAAGUACGGCCGCAAGGCUGAAACUUAAAGGAAUUGGCGGGGGAGCACCACAACGGGUGGAGCUUGCGGUUUAAUUGGAUUCAACGCCGGAAAUCUUACCGGGACCGACAGC
RNAcentral lists this ribosomal RNA (510 nucleotides) under uncultured archaeon. RNAcentral's name for it is "bacterial SSU rRNA". It matches the Rfam family "Archaeal small subunit ribosomal RNA", at positions 434 to 943 of the family's 1478-position model. The record is from RNAcentral.